GUCUGAAUAUGGGGGGACCAUCCUCCAAGGCUAAAUACUCCUGACUGACCGAUAGUGAACCAGUACCGUGAGGGAAAGGCGAAAAGAACCCCGGCGAGGGGAGUGAAAAAGAACCUGAAACCGUGUACGUACAAGCAGUGGGAGCACGCUUAGGCGUGUGACUGCGUACCUUUUGUAUAAUGGGUCAGCGACUUAUAUUCUGUAGCAAGGUUAACCGAAUAGGGGAGCCGAAGGGAAACCGAGUCUUAACUGGGCGUUAAGUUGCAGGGUAUAGACCCGAAACCCGGUGAUCUAGCCAUGGGCAGGUUGAAGGUUGGGUAACACUAACUGGAGGACCGAACCGACUAAUGUUGAAAAAUUAGCGGAUGACUUGUGGCUGGGGGUGAAAGGCCAAUCAAACCGGGAGAUAGCUGGUUCUCCCCGAAAGCUAUUUAGGUAGCGCCUCGUGAAUUCAUCUCCGGGGGUAGAGCACUGUUUCGGCAAGGGGGUCAUCCCGACUUACCAACCCGAUGCAAACUGCGAAUACCGGAGAAUGUUAUCACGGGAGACACACGGCGGGUGCUAACGUCCGUCGUGAAGAGGGAAACAACCCAGACCGCCAGCUAAGGUCCCAAAGUCAUGGUUAAGUGGGAAACGAUGUGGGAAGGCCCAGACAGCCAGGAUGUUGGCUUAGAAGCAGCCAUCAUUUAAAGAAAGCGUAAUAGCUCACUGGUCGAGUCGGCCUGCGCGGAAGAUGUAACGGGGCUAAACCAUGCACCGAAGCUGCGGCAGCGACGCUGAUGCGUUGUUGGGUAGGGGAGCGUUCUGUAAGCCUGUGAAGGUGUGCUGUGAGGCAUGCUGGAGGUAUCAGAAGUGCGAAUGCUGACAUAAGUAACGAUAAAGCGGGUGAAAAGCCCGCUCGCCGGAAGACCAAGGGUUCCUGUCCAACGUUAAUCGGGGCAGGGUGAGUCGACCCCUAAGGCGAGGCCGAAAGGCGUAGUCGAUGGGAAACAGGUUAAUAUUCCUGUACUUGGUGUUACUGCGAAGGGGGGACGGAGAAGGCUAUGUUGGCCGGGCGACGGUUGUCCCGGUUUAAGCGUGUAGGCUGGUUUUCCAGGCAAAUCCGGAAAAUCAAGGCUGAGGCGUGAUGACGAGGCACUACGGUGCUGAAGCAACAAAUGCCCUGCUUCCAGGAAAAGCCUCUAAGCAUCAGGUAACAUCAAAUCGUACCCCAAACCGACACAGGUGGUCAGGUAGAGAAUACCAAGGCGCUUGAGAGAACUCGGGUGAAGGAACUAGGCAAAAUGGUGCCGUAACUUCGGGAGAAGGCACGCUGAUAUGUAGGUGAAGCGACUUGCUCGUGGAGCUGAAAUCAGUCGAAGAUACCAGCUGGCUGCAACUGUUUAUUAAAAACACAGCACUGUGCAAACACGAAAGUGGACGUAUACGGUGUGACGCCUGCCCGGUGCCGGAAGGUUAAUUGAUGGGGUCAGCGCAAGCGAAGCUCUUGAUCGAAGCCCCGGUAAACGGCGGCCGUAACUAUAACGGUCCUAAGGUAGCGAAAUUCCUUGUCGGGUAAGUUCCGACCUGCACGAAUGGCGUAAUGAUGGCCAGGCUGUCUCCACCCGAGACUCAGUGAAAUUGAACUCGCUGUGAAGAUGCAGUGUACCCGCGGCAAGACGGAAAGACCCCGUGAACCUUUACUAUAGCUUGACACUGAACAUUGAGCCUUGAUGUGUAGGAUAGGUGGGAGGCUUUGAAGUGUGG
Molecule: ribosomal RNA, 1746 nt
Filed under: Escherichia coli
Lineage: Bacteria; Pseudomonadati; Pseudomonadota; Gammaproteobacteria; Enterobacterales; Enterobacteriaceae
Description: partial 23S ribosomal RNA
Rfam family: Bacterial large subunit ribosomal RNA
Source: RNAcentral